This 33-nucleotide non-coding RNA is filed under the name unclassified sequences. Its description in RNAcentral is "DUF805b RNA". It matches the Rfam family "DUF805b RNA". Rfam says of the family: Bacteroidetes, Chlorobi (1 example), Proteobacteria. Lineage (Flavobacteria) The record is from RNAcentral.
UACGCGGUAGCCGAAAAGCGCAGAGAGUAGGCA